Molecule: long non-coding RNA, 558 nt
Organism: Lolium rigidum
Lineage: Eukaryota; Viridiplantae; Streptophyta; Magnoliopsida; Poales; Poaceae
Exons: 4
Source: RefSeq, a predicted model, not a curated record
CAUUGUUUUUCAUGUGGAAAAUGUUCCCUAAUACAGAAUCCCUGCUCUCCUUGGGGACUCUAAUGUAUGUAUGUACUGUAGGCUACGCUUUCAUAUACACCUUGGACGCGUGGCAGGCCGACCAGCUCUCUAGACGCGUGGCAGGAGAUGUAUGCUACUGGUGCUUUGAAUAUGCCCAGAUUUGCCGUUUGCGUGAUGCUCUAGCAGGUUGAGGAGAUACGGCCUUCAGGUCUUGAUGAUUCCAUGCGCUUUGCAUCGAAAAAUAACCAGUUAAACCAGAGUGAAGGCUAUACCGGGGCAUCCCUAGCACUUAUCUCAGAUAUUGAGCCGAAAGAUGUCAUAAUGCAGCUUCUUAUGUAGGAAACCUAUUCAAGGUAUUAUAUAUCCUGUUUACUUCCAUUGAUGUCCUUCAGGAAAGUAUUGUGUAAUUUAUAUUUUGCUUUGUGGUGUCAUAUAGCUAUUCUCAUUUCCAGAUAUGUACUUAAAAUAUUGGGCUUUAGUUGUACUCUGUUUCACACUCUGAUGAUACAAAAACGGAUUGCAGUCUUUCUUUUUUUA